CAUUGAAACACCGGUUACCAUAUGAUCACCAAAGUUAAGCAAUGUCGAGCCUGGUCAGUGCCUAAAUAGGUGACUACUUGGGAAUACCAGGUGCUGUCAG
Acanthosepion pharaonis is the source of this 100-nucleotide non-coding RNA. NCBI's taxonomy places the organism in Eukaryota, Metazoa, Mollusca, Cephalopoda, Sepiida, Sepiidae. The record is from the annotation of a GenBank genome assembly.